CGUCGUUUCUACCUAGUAUUAAAUUACCUUUGAUCAUGUAAUGAUGAUUUUAAAGAGAAUCACAAAUGCGAACACCACAUUUAAUGAAUCUUUAAUGUUAAAUAUAUUGAAUUUUGUAUCAUAAAUUUAUAAUAAAAACUUAGGUUAGUCAAUUUAUUGAUAAAAUUGGAUGGAGUACAGAGGUGACGACUUGGAGGCUAGUGUAUUUAGCAAAUCAGGGGCUUAAGUUGUGUCUCACCACGUUCAGAAAAGGUUAAACUAGUGGGUCAAGUAUGACGAAUAUUUCAGAAUCUUUGAGAAAGUUCGACGAAUCAUGUGACGCAGUGGGCAGUGGCACACCCACCAACUACAGACCAUACCAUUUGUUGCUAAAAAAAAAUUGUUUUUCUUUUGCAUCAACAUGGUUUAUUGGUGGUAUUAAGAACUAUAUAAGCAUCAGCAACGUACUGAAACUAAAUUUUUUAUUCUCAAAGCAAACACAAAACUAAUCUAUUAUAUAAACAGAGUUUAUAAUCUUGUGUUGUGGGAAAAUUUGUUACAUUUUCUGUAUGUUAUAAAAAAAAAAGGAAAUCGCUCAUAUCAAUUUCGUUUAGGUUGUUGUUUUAUGGCCUUAGUGCAAAUGGAUUCUUCAGCAGAUCAACUAACUUUUACUGCUGCUUCAACUCUGUAAAUCUUACAUCUAAAGUAUAUACACCAGGAGGCAACGUUACCGCAUUCUCAGAAGUCUUUUUCAUGAUUCUCAAAUUAAUCACAGAGUUUCUACAUUUGGAUUCUCUGCUUAAACGCUUCAACGUUGAAGGCUUGAAUCUAUUGAGAAUGUCUCUGCACGCUGCUGAUUAGCCCUUGCCACUGUCUGAAGAUGAAAUAAUAAGAAAAUGAGAUCCUAGUACAUUAAUCAAACAGAUUCAUUACGCUAUGUUAUAAAGUGAUGAUAAUCUCUCAUGGGUGAUAUUUACCUGAAAUGCUGGCAGAUGUGGUGCAGGCAAAAGCUGGAUGUAUGGAGUGAAUUGCUUACUGAUAUUGAAACACUUUGUCUCACCUAGCUUUUGCCUUUUGAUGGCUUGAUUUUCUGAAUCAGACUGAUAGUGUUAGCUACGUUAUUUAACACUUGUUUCCCUGCAGUGAGAUACAUAACACAUAAAAACCCCAUUACGAGAGGAACAUGAGACCAAAGUUAAGUUCAGACGGAUUCUUCAGCCUAGUUUGUUGCUUCUUAGGGUCCAUCGACUUUCCUUCUUGUUCUCUGCUUUUUCACAGGUCGAAUUUUCAAGUUGGAUGUUAACAAGACCUUGUCUCACCUAUCUUUAUUAAUUUCCCUAAAUCUGUUUGGUAGAGCUUGCUAUGUUUCCCUGCAGUGAGGCAAUAAAUGAAUAA
This 1374-nucleotide long non-coding RNA is filed under the name Capsella grandiflora. Its description in RNAcentral is "long non-coding RNA (CGRA_LNC001532)". Lineage: Eukaryota; Viridiplantae; Streptophyta; Magnoliopsida; Brassicales; Brassicaceae. The record is from RNAcentral.